UGGGGAAAUUCAGUGCUGCAGUUAACACAAUAAGUAUUCCGCCUGGGGAGUAUCGGUCGCAAGACUGAAACUCAAAGGAAUUGACGGGGGCCCGCACAAGCAGCGGAGCAUGUGGUUUAAUUUGAAGCAACGCGAAGAACCUUAUCAGGUCUUGACAUCCUUUGACCGUUUGAGAGAUCAGAUUUUCCCUUUGGGGACAAAGAGACAGAUGGUGCAUGGUUGUCGUCAGUUUGUGUCGUGAGAUGUUGGGUUAAGUCCCGCAACGAGCGCAACCCUUAUGUUUAGUUGCCAUCAUUCAGUUGGGUAUUUUAGACAGAUUGUCCGUGAAAGUGGGAGGAAGGUGGGGACGAUGUCAAAUCGUCAUGCCUUUUACGACUUGGGUUACACACGUGUUACAAUGGUCUGUACAGAGGGUAGUGAAGCCGUGAGGUGGAGCCAAUCUCAAAAAACAGACCUCAGU
Molecule: ribosomal RNA, 460 nt
Filed under: uncultured bacterium
Lineage: Bacteria
Description: bacterial SSU rRNA
Rfam family: Bacterial small subunit ribosomal RNA
Source: RNAcentral